ACCUAGACCAUGGUUUCAAAUAUGUUAAAUAUAACACCUACUUUGGAAUUAAUAUAUAUCAAAAAUUUUUAUAUGAUGUCUUUUUUCUAUAAUUAUGUAAGAAAAGUAGUCCAUAGUUACUAUGAAUUUUAUAACUCUUUAAAAUAAGUGUUUACUCAGAACAUAAUUUAUGUACAUUUUAAUUAUAGUCCUAUAUACUGUAAUGUACAUUAUUUAGUCUUUGAGAAUUCAUACAUUUGGAAAAUAGAUUCACUAUACUUGAAUUUUCUAUUGCCUCCUACCUGGACAUGAGAGAAAAAUCAAUGUCAUACAUUUGUACAAUGUGUGAAAAUCUACAGGGGAGGAAGAGACUAAUAGAUGUGGCACAGAGGAAUUUUAGGGUAAAUGACUCUGAAUGAUACAGUAAUAGUAGUUACAUGUCAUUAUACACCUGUGAAAAUCCAUAGAAUACAAUACAUGUGAACCCUAGUGUAAACUAUAGACACUGGUUGAUAAUGAUGUGUAAAUAUAGGUUCACCAAUCACAAUAAAUGUACCACUCUGAGGUGGAAUAUUGAUAGUGAGGAAAGCGGUGUAUGCGUGAGGUCGGGUAUGUGUGAGGUAUGAGAACUCUCUGUAUUUUGCAGUCAGUCUUGCUGUGAACUUAACACUACCCUAAAAACAAAAUCCAUUAAAAUGAAACAAAUAUGUAGGGGGAAAACCUAUAAAUGUGUGUACAUAUGUGGAUAUGUAUAUAUUUAUGCAUAAACAGAGACACACAUAACUGUUAAAUUGUAUAUUAAGACUAUAUACACAUAUGUGGUAUAAACAUAUCAACAUGUUUGUAUAAACACACACUCACAAAGAAACUUUAUGACACUGUAUCUGUAUAUAUUAUUAAUCCUCAUGGCAGCUUUUUGAGAUACAUACCUUUGUCACUUUAAUGGCAUAUAAUCCAAGACAGAAUGUUGACAUUCUCUGCCAAAGUUCACUUAGCUCUAAGGGCCACAGCAGGGGUUUGCCCCGAUCUCUAUUGUUAACCAUUAUUUGUAAUCACCUUAUUACCUUCCUCUGCUGAAUUUGUGUCAUUAUACUUGAAAACAUCUUUUUAAAAUUGUCUUAAAGCUUACAAGUUAUAUUUCAAUAUUUGUGUUGAGGACUCUGGCAACCUUGUAUUUAACUGGCUGUUUUUAUUUGAGGAUUGAGUUAAGAGGACAGCUGCUUUUCUGUAGUUAAAGCAAUAAGGGCAUGAAGAGAAUGAGAUAUUAAAUUUAUUUUGGGAUGUAAAUAUUUUUCAGUGUGUGAUGGCUUACGAGAAAUCCCACAUGGGCGCUAGUAAAUGAUCUAUAUUUUUGCAAACUUUCCUCAAGCCAUGAGAUUCUGCAAUGCUGACAUGAUUUGAUUUGGUGAAUGAUGCGGGUGGUGUUGAAAUUGAGCCUUUUCUUACAUUUACCUUAAGGAGUUAACUUGCCCUUUGUUUAAAAUUGAAAUUUUUCCUGAUUCAGUGAGUAACCACAUCCCUUAACAGUGACACUCCUAGGCUGGCUAGAAGAUACACACAUCAUUACUGUGAAUUUAGUUUAACCAUUUUCAUUUUUAAAUUAACAUGAACCUUUAACCACCUAUCACAACCCACUGUCUUUUCCUCAUCUAUGUAAGUGUCUACUGGAAUGGUCAGUUUACACAUUAAUGUAUUUUUUUAGAUUUUAAAAUGAAAAAUUUAGCUGACAUAAUGCUGCAACACAAAAUGCAAGGUCACCUGUCAAGAAAAAGGAAAACCCAGGUAAAUAAUCUCAUGAGCAGAAUUCUUAAUGUUUGGCUUAUUCCACAUUUAUUUAAUACUUAAAACUGCCAGAGUGGGUGCAGGUCCUAAAAAGAACUCGGUAAUAGGGAUUUAGAUAGAAAAUUUUGACAGUUACAUGACUGUAUAAGAAUGUUCCAAUUCAAUGUUUUAGAAAUGUAUAAUUUUUGCAUGAAGGAUGUAUGAGGUUUUUUUCUACAUAAAUUGGAGUAAUUGGCAGGUACCACUCUGUCUUAUUUAGUGCGGGUAGUUUCUCACGAAAGGUAGAUUUGAUUGAAAGAUGGCAGUGAACAAAUUUUUUUUCUCUAUUUCCAUAGAAAUUCCUACCAGUUUUUAACUGAUUAACCUGUUUUUGAUAGUUAAUCAGUUACUUGAACUUUCACAGAGUUAACUAAUGCCUGCUUUAAUGCCUUAAAUCAUAAUAAAAAUUUGUUUCCAUGUGGUCCAUCUUGACACAGACCAAAUCAUCACACUGAGAUUUAUCAUAACAUAAUGAAGCCUAAAACUUGUUUGUCCCUUACAAGAUAUGUAAGUUGCAUGACACAUUCAUACUAUUUGUUUUUUUAAAACUGGGAUACACUGUUAACUAAAUGCUACUGAAUUCUCUGGUCAGAUAGUUUGGUGUUAGUAAGAAGUAAUUACCUGGCCGGGCACGGUGGCUCACGCCUGUAAUCCCAGCACUUUCGGAGGCCAAGGCAGGCGAAUCACUAGGUCAAGAGAUUGAGACCAUCCAGGCCAACAUGGUGAAACCCAGUCUCUACUAAAAACACAACAAUUAGCCUGGCAUGGUGGCGCGUGCCUGUAGUCCCAGCUACGUGGGAGGCUGAGGCAGGAGAAUCGUUUGAACCCAGGAGGCGGAGGUUGCAGUGAACCAAGAUCACGCCACUGCACUCCAGCCUGGUGAGAGAGUGAGACUCCAUCUCAAAAAAAAAAAAAUAAAAAUAAAAAUAAAAGUAAUUACCUCUGUAUACUCAACAACGCUGUCUAUUUUGUCCAGAUUACAAAGGUCUGCUCUCCCAUUGGAGGGCAUUCUCUGCCAUAGUGCAAAGGCCCAAGUACUAGCCUAUUUCAUAUGCCACGUUCUCAAACACGGCUUUCCACAAGAACUUCCUCUAAGCAACUGUUCCAAUAUGACAAGUCCUGCAUAAAGCAUUGGUAAAAAGUAUUUUGUUACUCUAUACAAAUUAUUCUCACUUAGUCUAGUUAAGUGAAAACUUAAUCUUUACCUUUAUUUUUCCAACUUAAAGGAAUAUCAGAAUAUUUUGUCUUCAAGCAAGCUUUAAAUUAUUAAUUUAAUAACUCUAAUCUUCUUGAAUCUAUUCCAAGUUAAUACAGUAUUGGUUAUGCAUAAUUCUGCUAACCGAUCAACAAAUAUUGAUGAAAGAUAGAUGAAAAAGUAUUUUAUGUUUUUUUCUAAUUAAAAUCAAUGGAGAAUUAUACUUAUCAGUAAGAGAAUAAUAAGUCCUAAAACUUUUUUGUCCCUUAAAAGAUAUAUAGGUUGCAUGACACAUUGAUACUAUUUGUUUAAAAACAAAUGGUAUACACUGUUAAUUAAAUGCUAGCAGAAUCAUUUUUCAAAAAUAAACAUAUACUUUGACCCCAUGCUGGAAAAACCUAUACUUGUAGACUUAUUUAAAAUAUAAGGCUAAACUUUGAAGGCAAUAAAUCAGAAAAUCUUUAAAUAUAAAUAUUAGAUACACCUUUAUGAUUUCUGCAGUUUUGGUGUUGGGAGGGGCAGAUAAUCAGCUAUUUGAGCCUUCACAGGGUUACUUAAUGCCUGCUUUAAUAACUCAAAUCAUAAUGAAAAUUUAUGUUUCCAUGUGGUCCAUUUUGACACAGACCAAAUCAUCACACUGAGAUAUAUCAUGGCAUGAAUGUUUUGAGAAUAAAUUUUUAAAAAUACCUAAUUUGUAUUGAGCUAAAUUUCAUUUGUAAUGUUGCUUUCAUAAUUUAUUUGGCAUUUAUUUUCUGACGAUAUUUAUUGAGUAGGAAUACCAUUGUGAGUAGUUGAGAUGUAGCCAGCAUCUUUCCCUUUAUUCUUCUCAAUAACCUUGCUUCCUCUUGUGAACUAAUAUCUUACACACACACACACACAAAACAGGCUUUGCCUUUUUACAUGGGUGAAGCAUGAAACCUGACUUACAUCCAUCAGCCCAGUAUACUCCUUUAUCAAAUGACUUUACUAAAGGUAACUCCCAUUGUCUUGGGAAUUUUAGAAAUUAGUUUUUUUCUCUUUCUCUCCAUCACAGGGUUAAAGAAACAAAGCCUAGAAUAGCUUUCAUUAUUUGCUGCCAUGAAGAACAUAAAGCUAAGGGGUUAGAGCCAAGAAAAAUCCUAGGGAAACUGAUCUAAAUCCUAAUCACAUCUAUUGCUAAGCCAAAUUUAACUCUUGGCAUUGUUAAUCAUGUAACAUAAUAAUUUUUCUGUAAUUUAUUUUUCCAGUUUGAGUCAGAUCUGCACUUAUUUGUAAAGAAGUAUACAAUAUAUAGGGCAUUUCUUACCAGGAGUGGGGUUACAGGUAAUGGGCUAGAAUGGUUUUAAAAAAAGAACUCUCUGUCAUACGAGAAGGUAAAAAUCUUUGUUUUUCAGUUGCAUAAAGUUGGUUUACUUUGGACCUUACAACAUGUGCUACCAAUAUUACAGUAUUCAGUAACUGAAAACAAAAAUAGGUUUUGCAUAUAUGGAGGAAUUGUGAAUUGAAGUUUCCCAAGACUUCACGUAGGAUUUGGAAACUUUCAAGACUGGAACAGCCAGAAAGUAGAAUCCUCAUUGAACACUUGCAACAUUCAGACAAGAUCCAAGGAAAGCUACACUGUUUUAAAUGCAUGGAGUCAUGGGAGAAGUCCAUGUGAAGAAGAAGCAGAGAUUGGAAUGAUGUAUUUACAAGCCAAGGAAUGACAAUUGCCAGCAGCCACCAGAAGCAAGAGGCAAGGAAGUGUUCUUCCCUAGAGCUUUGGGAAAGAGCAUGCCCAGUCGACACCUCGAUUUGGACUUUAGCCUCAAGAGUAUGAGAACAGAUUUAUAUUGU
This 4807-nucleotide long non-coding RNA is filed under the name Homo sapiens (human). Its description in RNAcentral is "HSALNT0321560". The record is from RNAcentral. Lineage: Eukaryota; Metazoa; Chordata; Mammalia; Primates; Hominidae.